AGUGAACGCUGGCGGUAGGCCUAACACAUGCAAGUCGAACGGCAGCACAGUAAGAGCUUGCUCUUACGGGUGGCGAGUGGCGGACGGGUGAGGAAUACAUCGGAAUCUACUUUUUCGUGGGGGAUAACGUAGGGAAACUUACGCUAAUACCGCAUACUACCUACGGGUUAAAGCAGGGGAUCUUCGGGCCUUUCGCGAUUGAAUGAGCCGAUGUCGGAUUAGCUAGUUGGCGGGGUAAAGGCCCACCAAGGCGACGAUCCGUAGCUGGUCUGAGAGGAUGAUCAGCCACACUGGAACUGAGACACGGUCCAGACUCCUACGGGAGGCAGCAGUGGGGAAUCUUGGACAAUGGGCGAAAGCCUGAUCCAGCCAUACCGCGUGGGUGAAGAAGGCCUUCGGGUUGUAAAGCCCUUUUGUUGGGAAAGAAAAGCAGCAGGUUAAUACCCCGCUGUUCUGACGGUACCCAAAGAAUAAGCACCGGCUAACUUCGUG
This 492-nucleotide ribosomal RNA is filed under the name uncultured bacterium. RNAcentral describes it as "partial 16S ribosomal RNA". It matches the Rfam family "Bacterial small subunit ribosomal RNA", at positions 29 to 507 of the family's 1533-position model. The record is from RNAcentral.